This is a long non-coding RNA of Zonotrichia leucophrys gambelii, 354 nucleotides long. RefSeq lists it as uncharacterized. The transcript is spliced from 4 exons. The record is from RefSeq and is a predicted model, not a curated record. NCBI's taxonomy places the organism in Eukaryota, Metazoa, Chordata, Aves, Passeriformes, Passerellidae.
GAAAAAGGCUACUGGAUCCUGUAAAAAUUUGCAAAAGCUGCUCAUUGAGAAAAGAGAAUUUUGGCUGCCCUUGGCAACAACAUGGGAUUAUGGAUUAGGAAUGGCAGUAACUGUAAAAUGUUACAUUUACAGGGGAAAAGCAGCCAGUGUCCCUGCUGAGCCAUGAUUUACAAGACUGCAGAUUCUAAAAUUCCUCAACCACAAGAAAACCAACCUACUUGACAGGAGGAUUUUUUCCCUCCCUCUACUUGCUUUUGCUGCCAACUGCUACAUCUCAUAUCUGGGAAAGAACAGGUGUGUGAAAAUACUGGAUUUGGCAAAUAUUCAUUUCAAUCACACGUAUUUGUGUAAUUU